GAUUUUGAGGUUUGGGGUUAUUCAAAGACUCAAUUUUAAGAAAUCUGAUCUACGGUUUUGUUGUAGUUCAGAGGGUUUUUGAAUUUUUGGGGUUUCAUGGCGGAUUUAGUGAAGCAGAUCUUGACAAAGCCGAUCCAGUUAGCAGACCAGGUGAUAAAGGCAGCUGAUGAGGCAAGUUCGUUCAAGCAAGAAUGUACUGAUCUCAGGUCCAAAACUGAGAAACUUGUGGCUCUUCUCCGACAGGCUGCACGCGCCGGCAACGACCUUUAUGAACGGCCCACGCGUCGGAUCAUUGACGACACCGAACAAGUUCUUGAGAAAGCUUUGGCUCUUGUGCUCAAGUGCAGAGCCCAUGGACUUGUUAAGCGAGUUUUUACCAUCAUCCCUGCUGCACAAUUCCGUAAAAUGUCUUCUCAAUUGGAAAACUCCAUUGGUGACGUGUCUUGGCUUCUCCGUGUUUCGGCUUCAGCUGAUGAACGAGCUGAUGACUGUUU
RNAcentral lists this unclassified non-coding RNA (494 nucleotides) under Hevea brasiliensis (rubber tree). The record is from RNAcentral. Lineage: Eukaryota; Viridiplantae; Streptophyta; Magnoliopsida; Malpighiales; Euphorbiaceae.